GGGUAGUCUGGAUAUCCUUCCGGCCUUCGGAGCCGGGGACGUGGGUUCGAAUCCUGCA
Molecule: transfer RNA, 58 nt
Filed under: Candidatus Poseidoniales archaeon
Lineage: Archaea; Methanobacteriati; Thermoplasmatota; Candidatus Poseidoniia; Candidatus Poseidoniales
Description: Marine Group II euryarchaeote (marine metagenome) tRNA-Arg
Source: RNAcentral